GACAGCGCAAGCUCCCGGCGUCGCUCGCGAUCUGCGCAGGCGUCGCCGCGCGGACACGUGCAGUUCCCGUCUUCAGAGAGCGCGCUCAUGACCAUAUCCUUCUUGACCUUUGCUGUUUUCCUCAUCAAACUGGUGCUGCAAGUGAUACAGACCUAUAAGCAGAAGGCGAUGAUGGUGGCUCCGCUGAUGGUCGCGUCAGGGCGCCACGUGUUCGCAAACCAUGGACAUCAUUGACGACAAUAAUAUGUAUCUUAUAUCCAUUUCAAUUGUGAUUGUGCGUUAAAAUGAAAUAAAUCUUUUGAAACCUGAA
Long non-coding RNA from Helicoverpa armigera (cotton bollworm), 310 nucleotides. RefSeq lists it as uncharacterized. The transcript has 2 exons. NCBI's taxonomy places the organism in Eukaryota, Metazoa, Arthropoda, Insecta, Lepidoptera, Noctuidae. The record is from RefSeq and is a predicted model, not a curated record.